This is a long non-coding RNA of Nilaparvata lugens (brown planthopper), 538 nucleotides long. RefSeq lists it as uncharacterized. The transcript has 2 exons. Lineage: Eukaryota; Metazoa; Arthropoda; Insecta; Hemiptera; Delphacidae. The record is from RefSeq and is a predicted model, not a curated record.
GGCAUUGAAUAAUUUUCUCACCUAAACUAAUAUUCUCAUUUUUGUUUUUGAUUAGUUUAGAAUUAAUUGAAAAUUAAAUCUAAAGUACCAUAUUCUAUUUUCUGUACAGUUUUCUCAGACUUUAUUGAUAGGAAUACGCUUUUCCGAGAUUAGGUUAUAUUACCAAUUUAUUGACAAGAAUAAGUUAAUCUUAAAUCAUUUGAGGUUUGAGCAUCAGCUACAGUAAUAAUAAGCAAGCAACCAACAUUUCCUGGUUUAACUGCGGAGGGUUGGUGUGUGGCUCCUUAGCAUCGGGACUGAAGCGGCGGAUGCUCUACUUUUUUCGCCCUAUAUUCAAAAAGUUAGAUCUUCCAUUUUUGGUUCUCUUUUUUCCAAAUUUUCCAUUUUUCUUUUAAUUUCUUUUCUCGUUUGCUUUAAUUUAUAAAUUAAUUGUUUUAUUUAUAAAAAUAUUUCUUGUAUUUGGUAAUAAAUUAAUUAUCAUAAACCCCUGAUUGCUGUCAGAUAGAAUUCUCAAUAAAGCGUUUUUCAUCAAAAUCAA